Triticum aestivum (bread wheat) is the source of this 142-nucleotide non-coding RNA. NCBI's taxonomy places the organism in Eukaryota, Viridiplantae, Streptophyta, Magnoliopsida, Poales, Poaceae. The record is from Rfam.
GAACUACUCCCUCCGUCCCAAAAUUCUUGUCUUAGAUUUAUCUAGAUACGGAUAAAAUUCUUGUCUUAGAUUUAUCUAGAUACGGAUACAUCCGUAUCUAGAUAAAUCUAAGACAAGAAUUUUGGGACGGAGGGAGUACUGU